GCAGUGGUGGUUCAGUGGUAGAAUUCUUGCCUUUUACGCUAGAGACCUGGUUCAAUUCCUAGCCAAUGCA
This is a non-coding RNA of Orycteropus afer afer, 70 nucleotides long. The record is from the annotation of a RefSeq genome assembly. NCBI's taxonomy places the organism in Eukaryota, Metazoa, Chordata, Mammalia, Tubulidentata, Orycteropodidae.